AGAGUUUGAUCCUGGCUCAGAUUGAACGCUGGCGGCAUGCUUUACACAUGCAAGUCGAACGGCAGCACGGGGGCAACCCUGGUGGCGAGUGGCGAACGGGUGAGUAAUGUAUCGGAACGUAUCCGGGAGUGGGGGAUAGCUCGGCGAAAGCCGGAUUAAUACCGCAUAUGCCCUGAGGGGGAAAGUGGGGGACCGUAAGGCCUCACGCUUUCGGAGCGGCCGAUAUCGGAUUAGCUAGUUGGUGGGGUAAAGGCCUACCAAGGCGACGAUCCGUAGCGGGUCUGAGAGGAUGAUCCGCCACACUGGGACUGAGACACGGCCCAGACUCCUACGGGAGGCAGCAGUGGGGAAUUUUGGACAAUGGGCGCAAGCCUGAUCCAGCCAUGCCGCGUGAGUGAAGAAGGCCUUCGGGUUGUAAAGCUCUUUCAGCCGGAAAGAAAUCGCCACUUCUAAUACGAG
Molecule: ribosomal RNA, 459 nt
Filed under: uncultured bacterium
Lineage: Bacteria
Description: bacterial SSU rRNA
Rfam family: Bacterial small subunit ribosomal RNA
Source: RNAcentral